GAUGAACGCUGGCGGCGUGCCUAAUACAUGCAAGUCGAGCGAACGGACGAGAAGCUUGCUUCUCUGAUGUUAGCGGCGGACGGGUGAGUAACACGUGGAUAACCUACCUAUAAGACUGGGAUAACUUCGGGAAACCGGAGCUAAUACCGGAUAAUAUUUUGAACCGCAUGGUUCAAAAGUAAAAGACGGUCUUGCUGUCACUUAUAGAUGGAUCCGCGCUGCAUUAGCUAGUUGGUAAGGUAACGGCUUACCAAGGCAACGAUGCAUAGCCGACCUGAGAGGGUGAUCGGCCACACUGGAACUGAGACACGGUCCAGACUACUACGGGAGGCAGCAGUAGGGAAUCUUCCGCAGAGGGCGAAAGCCUGACGGAGCAACGCCGCGUGAGUGAUGAAGGUCUUCGGAUCGUAAAACUCUGUUAUUAGGGAAGAACAUAUGUGUAAGUAACUGUGCACAUCUUGACGGUACCUAAUCAGAAAGCCACGGCUAACUACGUG
RNAcentral lists this ribosomal RNA (497 nucleotides) under uncultured bacterium. Its description in RNAcentral is "partial 16S ribosomal RNA". It matches the Rfam family "Bacterial small subunit ribosomal RNA", at positions 28 to 507 of the family's 1533-position model. The record is from RNAcentral.